Molecule: ribosomal RNA, 447 nt
Filed under: uncultured bacterium
Lineage: Bacteria
Description: bacterial SSU rRNA
Rfam family: Bacterial small subunit ribosomal RNA
Source: RNAcentral
UCGGGAAUUUUGGGCAAUGGGCGAAAGCCUGACCCAGCAACGCCGCGUGAAGGAUGAAGUAUUUCGGUAUGUAAACUUCGUAAGAAUAGGAAGAAUAAAUGACGGUACUAUUUGUAAGGUCCGGCUAACUACGUGCCAGCAGCCGCGGUAAUACGUAGGGACCAAGCGUUGUUCGGAUUUACUGGGCGUAAAGGGCGCGUAGGCGGUGUGUCAAGUCAGUUGUGAAAUCUCCGAGCUUAACUCGGAACGGUCAACUGAUACUGUCACACUAGAGUACAGAAGGGGCAAUCGGAAUUCUUGGUGUAGCGGUGAAAUGCGUAGAUAUCAAGAGGAACACCUGAGGUGAAGACGGGUUGCUGGGCUGACACUGACGCUGAGGCGCGAAAGCCAGGGGAGCAAACGGGAUUAGAUACCCCUGUAGUCCCUGAGCGGGCUGGCAAGGCGCAU